AAAAAGAAAAGAGAAAAUUUGAAAUUCCGUCACUUAUGCCUAUAUAAAGAGCACUCACAUGCCUUUAUUCACAAGUUUUGGAAGCCAAAAAACUCCCACGAAAAACUAUCUCUAAUCCCCAGAUCUGAUUUUGAAAUUCAAGCAUUCAAAACCCCCCAAAAAAUAAUAGAAAAUCCCUAGAAAACCAAAAAAAUCAGGAACUACUUUUCCAUUGAAAAUUUGCAGUUAGUUUUGAAUUUCAACUCCUGAAUUGCAUCAUUUAGUCUUAAUCUGUUUGCUUAUACAUUCUGGUGGUGCCUGGGUUAAUUCGAGAGGGUGUGGGUCCAAUUGAGGCUAUUUGGGCUGGUUUUGUUAAGCUGUUGGUUUCAAAAGUGGUUAUAGGAUCUGUGUUGAGUCUAUUUUGGUUUUACAAGUGUAUUUGGGUCAUUAUUGGUGUUGUCUAUCUCUGAAAACAAUCCUGGGCUGCUCAUUCUAUUUCUGGGCUAUUUUUGAUCAUCAAUUGCUUCUACUGACUCUCAUUCCUCUCAUUCUAUUUUAAAUCCAGGUACAUGCUUCGAAUCUCCCCUGAUGUAACUUCAAAUUGGAGUGAAAUGAAGACUUAUUAAAGAACUGAGCUUGUUUGAAUAUUUGUAGUUACAGUCAGUUAAUUGAUGUGGUUGUUUGGUUUUUAAUUUGUUGGGCGUUGUAUUAAAUAGGGACUGUUAAUUGGGAUUGCCUCAGGCUGAUUUGGACUGCUUUGAUUAUUAUUUUAUAACUGAUUGUUAAACAACUUAAGGAUUUUGUAUUUAGUAAUUAAUUAGACUGUUGAACAUGGAAUGGAACUAGUUGCAGUUUGCAUGUGUAGUAUAGAGUCUUCGAACUGUAAUAAUUUGGGCUGAAAAUCAAUUAUUGGAGUUAAUUAGUUUAGUUUAGUUCCUAUGAAGUUUGAUUAGGGAAAGUAGCUCAUCUUCGAAUUCGUAAUUGCAGUAGCUCAUCUUCAAAUUCAUAAGUCACUUGAGUGUUGAACUAGUUGUUAGCUAAGAUUAAUUCGAAAAUAAUUAGUAUGUUACGUGUGAAUAAAAUUAUUGUUUUUCAACGUGUACUUAACCUUAUUAGUACCUGAAAACUCAAUAGAAAACCAGUAAACAAAACAAUUGAGACAUGAAGCUGAAGUUCAAAGAGGAUUUGAGGUUGUUGGCUGGUCUUGUCUUCACGAGAGGCGCCAUCACGAUCGGGUAUGGAAUUUGGGUCGUGACAUAAUAAGAUCUACUUUGAAUAAUCUUCCUAAACACUUAAUGCAAUAUAUUACACUACCUUCGCAUAUUAUUUUCUUCCUUAAUAGAUACCUACGAAAUUUCCUUUGGGGCACUACCACUCAGAGGAAAAAAUUACAUCUUAUAAAUUGGUCAAUGGUUACUCGAACUUUAGAGAAAGGGGAUUGGGCAUCCAAAAUUUCAGUCUUAAAAAUCAAGCCUUACAUUUUAGUCUUGCUUGGAGGCUAUUUCAAAACCCUACUGAGCUAUGGGCACAAGUUUUAUUUCAUUGUUAUCUUAAGCCUUCUAAAGCAAGUAAAAUUACUGUUUCAAGAACUUGGUCAACCAUUAUUAAGGGUUGGUCCAAUUGUAGAUUAGGUUACACAUGGAACCUGACUGAUGGUAAAAGGAUAAAUUUCUUGAUUGAACCUUAGAUAUAUAAUAAUUCUCUGGUCCGUAGUCAUAUCUAUAGGCCCCUACCCAGAGGUGAAGAUAGGAAAAAUGUGUCUGCAUACUAUUUUAAUCAUAGGUGGCAUUUACAUCUUUUGCCUUUUGUGUUACCUUCUCAACUAGCAGUCUCAAUUACUAAUGCUUAUAUGCCAAUGGUGCCCAUCAGAUAUGAUCAGCUUUACUGUACACUUACACAUGAUGGGUUGUUCUCUGUUAAAUCUAUGUAUAAUAUUCUUGCACAUGUCUUUAAUAUUUCUACUAUAAAUAAGGACGUACAGUACAAAUGAAUUUGGAAACUCAGAAUCCCAUCCAAGAUUUCCUUCUUUGUAUGAUUACUGUGUCAUGACAGGCUUCCUGCAGCUGCAUAUUUACAUAAGUUACAAAUUAUUAAUUUACCUUUGUGUCCACAAUGCCAACUGGCACCUGAGACUAUACACCAUCUUUUUAUGAAAUGUUCUAAUGCUACUGCACUUUGGGUUGCUCUUUAAGGUAAAUACUACUAUGAUAGGGCCAUCAACUACUCAUCAUAUCGCUUGGUGGUACAACUUUAUACAUAAGCAGAUUUUGCCAACAUUCUUUUUUGCGUCAUUUUACCAUUUGCUUUAUGGGAGUUAUGGUCUAUAAGAAAUAAAAAAAAAAUUGAACAUAAAAUUCUUAAGUAAAGUAUUUCAUUGCUUUACAAACAGGUCAUUGAAUACUAUUACCUCACAAAUCCAAUAAAUAGUAAUACUUUACUUAUGUCUAUUUAUAUUAAAUUGCAUCUCCCGGAUAGCCAGCACCCCCAGGUAACCACCAGGCACCUAUUUCAACGGCGAGGAUCUACGACAACUGUCGUCCAAGCUCUCAUUCAGACUCACGGCAGGACGCAAUAGAGCCGCGCACUUUGCUAAGAUUCAGGAGAACUCGGGCGCAGCAAAGCACANNNN
Molecule: long non-coding RNA, 2608 nt
Filed under: Nicotiana benthamiana
Lineage: Eukaryota; Viridiplantae; Streptophyta; Magnoliopsida; Solanales; Solanaceae
Description: long non-coding RNA (NBEN_LNC004419)
Source: RNAcentral